This 423-nucleotide ribosomal RNA is filed under the name uncultured bacterium. Its description in RNAcentral is "bacterial SSU rRNA". It matches the Rfam family "Bacterial small subunit ribosomal RNA", at positions 358 to 773 of the family's 1533-position model. The record is from RNAcentral.
GGAAUAUUGGACAAUGGGGGAAACCCUGAUCCAGCAACACCGCGUGGAGGAAGAAGGUCUUCGGAUCGUAAACUCCUGUCAGGUAGGACGAAGGUACGUUGGCGAAUAGUCAGCGUGCUUGACGGUACUACCAGAGGAAGCCCCGGCUGACUCCGUGCCAACAGCCGCGGUAAUACGGAGGGGGCGAGCGUUAUUCGGAAUGAUUGGGCGUAAAGGGCGUGUAGGCGGCUUUGCAUGUCAAAGGUGAAAUCCCUCGGCUCAACCGAGGAACUGCCUUUGAAACUGCAUUGCUUGAGGCCGGGAGGGGCCAGUGGAAUUCCCAGUGUAGCGGUGAAAUGCGUAGAUAUUGGGAGGAACACCAGUGGCGAAGGCGACUGGCUGGACCGGUUCUGACGCUGAUACGCGAAAGCGUGGGGAGCAAAC